GAAUUUAUUUUGAUACCAGAUUUUUUAAAGUAAAGUUGUUAGGAAUGCUCUAGAAAGGAAUUUAGCAUUAGAUUACGAGCUUUUUUUUUGUAAAUUAAAGCAAAAGGUAUGAUUUCAUAAAUUGCGCCGCCCAUGGCUGAUGAACCAUAGUGCCCCUCCCCAGGCCAGAAGAGACUUUAAUAAAAACACCCUGGGACUACUAUAAUGAUUUACACACUGGCAACUGAGCUUAACUUGUAUAUUAAUUUCAUGAACAUGUUUUAUCUCUUUGCUUUUUGCUUUUAAUUGCUUACUACAGUUAUGAUGACAAAGAAGUCUGGAAUAAACAAGAAACCUCAGAACCACCUUAACCGUGUCUGCUACAAUGUGUGUUCUUGCAACCAGCUGAUUGAUUCAUUUUAUCAACUCUCAAAUGGUUGAUUAUCAGAACUGAAUUCAGAGCUGCUCCUGUCUGUAGUAACAUCAUUAUUGGAAGAGCAGAUUUCAGAAUGAGGGCGUUGCUGCUUUAAAAACUUUACUCCAUGGUACUCUCCAAAUUCAUCUCAAAUUAGACUGCUUCAGGAAACCAGAUUUGUUCCUUCAAGCAGAGACGCUUGUGGCUUUCCUGACUGGACUUCUAUGGAUUCUUCAUGCCAACCUUAAAGUAUACAUCCAAAGAAAAUUCACGAAAGUGAUGAUUAUAGACAAAUUAUAUAUGAAUGGAAAGGUCUUGUCUUUUUAUACACAAAUAUGUCACUAAAAAGUCUUAUUGAUGUCGUGGAAAUGCAAGAAAUGAAAUUAUUAGAGACCAUUCUAAGCCCCCCAGCCGCCCCCAGACCGACAGUUCACGCAGUGAAAACAGUCGAGAAUAAUGACGUCACACAAUCAUCGAGCUCAUCAUCCCUCUGUGCAUAAUACACUGAAUCACCUUACUGACCUCUUCAAUAUCUUCCGAAUUUACCGUUUUCUUCUAGUAAUGUGACAUCCGAAUUCUGUUUUCGACAACUUCAGACUAUAAGGGAACCAGAACUGUGUUAUUUUGCCCGUUUUUUAUUGAAUUGUGAACUGGAAAGAUCGAUUUUGUCCACUCGACAGUCUUCGUUGUGUUGCUCUACUAACUAUUGAAAAACUCCAAGCUGCACGGUCCCAUUCACUUGCUCCCGAUGCAUGUUGCAGGCUACGCUGUUUGAUCCAGUCAAAAGUCAAGAUCUGCACACUUGCUGACUCUGGUGACUUCUGGUCUCUGCUUGCUACCUCAAUCUGGGAGAUUCCAUCAUGUCCUUUUACUAUGAUUUGGGUAUAGCCAUUUUUUUCUUCACUCUUUCCAGGACCUACGGUUUGCAAGUUGUGGACUGAUAAUGAUACAAAAGAAAAUUUUUCUUUAUCAAUCUUGGAAACAACUUUGAGCACAGUUUUGGAGAGAACUAAGAAAUUUGACUUGGACAGGAAUACGUACAGCUUGUCAAAAAUAAUAACACACAAUUUAAACGAAAGAACAAUUUUAAUGUUACUAGGGCAUUUUGCGAGAAAUGUUAUACUCAAUCACACGUCCCAAAUCAAGGGUAAGUCCUUUGAUUAAACAUGUAGUUGAAUUGCGAUUGCAACUCGACCUUAUUACGCUUGAAUUUGAAUUUAAGACUUACGCUUGAUUUGCAAUUGAACAUAAGUUUCUUGCAGUGCCCCAUAAUUAUGUUUUGUUAUCAGAUAUUUAACGUGCUGAUUUUUCUCGAAAGGUAUAAUAUAUUUGUCCUUUUAAACGGUAUUUGAAUAUGGGUACGCCUUUUAUUUGUUUUCCACAAUAUUUAUUGCAUGUAUGAACAGAAGUGAAAUAUUUAUUGUGAAGCACUGUGAAUGUUGUGUGAUGGUUCAUCAUUUUUGUUAUAAGACUGAAAGCCUGGUGGAUGUGAGGAAGUGGCCUGGAUGAAAGAAAAGUGAACAUGUGUCCAAUUACUGAUUUGCAUAUUCUAAGACAAUUUUGUUUCUGGAUAAAUUUUGCUAUGCAUUCCCUACAUUAAGAGUAAAGGAGAAGUCCACGCAAUCAAAAAUUCAUUUGAAUUUAAAGAAAAAUAACAAGAUAUUGCAGGAAAUUUCAUAAAAACUUUGAUUCAAAUUUAUAUAAUUACUAUUUUAACAGUUCCGUAAAUAUAACCUAUUGUGAUCAGAUGAAGAGUUUCCUAUCGUCAAAUCUGCAAAGAAUAAAAAACAAAAUGCCACAAAAAAUAGAAACGAAUGUGAUGUGAGUGACAACUCUAAUUUGCAUAUCAUUGUUUUGUGUAUAUGACUGUUUUGAGUAAAAACAACAAGGGAAAUUACUCUAUUCAAAUAAUUUUUAGUUGAUGUGGACUUGACUUUUAACUCUACCCCUCCCAUCCCAAAUAAGAGUAGAAAUUAUCUAAUCAAGAACUUGAAAAUCAAAAGCAGCAAUUAAGAAGCAAGAUGUGAUAAAUACAGGUCUGAAUAGAAUUUCACAAGAAAAUAAAAAGAGAAAAAAAAGAUGGGUAGGGACGGGGAAGG
This is a long non-coding RNA of Lytechinus pictus (painted urchin), 2493 nucleotides long. RefSeq lists it as uncharacterized. NCBI's taxonomy places the organism in Eukaryota, Metazoa, Echinodermata, Echinoidea, Temnopleuroida, Toxopneustidae. The transcript is spliced from 3 exons. The record is from RefSeq and is a predicted model, not a curated record.